Molecule: ribosomal RNA, 253 nt
Filed under: uncultured bacterium
Lineage: Bacteria
Description: partial 16S ribosomal RNA
Rfam family: Bacterial small subunit ribosomal RNA
Source: RNAcentral
UACAGAGGGUGCAAGCGUUGUUCGGAAUUAUUGGGCGUAAAGCGCGUGUAGGCGGCUUUGCAAGUCGGGUGUGAAAGCCCUCGGCUCAACCGAGGAAGUGCGCCCGAAACUGCAGAGCUUGAGUACCGGAGAGGAUGGCGGAAUUCCCCAAGUAGAGGUGAAAUUCGUAGAUAUGGGGAGGAACACCGGUGGCGAAGGCGGCCAUCUGAACGGAUACUGACGCUGAGGCACGAAAGCGUGGGGAGCAAACAGG